CCUACGGGCGGCAGCAGUGAGGAAUAUUGGUCAAUGGACGAGAGUCUGAACCAGCCAAGCAGCGUGAAGGAUGACUGCCCUAUGGGUUGUAAACUUCUUUUAUAUGGGAAUAAAAUGUUCCACGUGUGGGAUUUUGUAUGUACCAUAUGAAUAAGGAUCGGCUAACUCCGUGCCAGCAGCCGCGGUAAUACGGAGGAUCCGAGCGUUAUCCGGAUUUAUUGGGUUUAAAGGGUGCGUAGGUGGAUUGAUAAGUCAGUUGUGAAAGUUUGCGGCUCAACCGUAGAAUUGCAGUUGAAACUGGCAGGCUUGAGUGCAGUAGAGGUGGGCGGAAUGCGUGGUGUAGCGGUGAAAUGCUUAGAUAUCACGAAGAACUCCGAUUGCGAAGGCAGCUCACUGGGCUGCAACUGACGCUGAGGCACGAAAGUGUGGGUAUCAAACAGGAUUAGAUACCCUGGUAGUC
This 460-nucleotide ribosomal RNA is filed under the name uncultured bacterium. RNAcentral's name for it is "partial 16S ribosomal RNA". It matches the Rfam family "Bacterial small subunit ribosomal RNA", at positions 338 to 795 of the family's 1533-position model. The record is from RNAcentral.